Molecule: ribosomal RNA, 1350 nt
Filed under: Arthrobacter pascens
Lineage: Bacteria; Bacillati; Actinomycetota; Actinomycetes; Micrococcales; Micrococcaceae
Description: bacterial SSU rRNA
Rfam family: Bacterial small subunit ribosomal RNA
Source: RNAcentral
AGGGAAGCUGAGCUGACCUGGGCGUCGAACGACGAACGGGGCUUGAUUCUGGAUUAGUGGCGAACGGGUGAGUAACACGUGAGUAACCUGCCCUUGACUCUGGGAUAAGCCUGGGAAACUGGGUCUAAUACCGGAUAUGACCUUCCAUCGCAUGGUGGUUGGUGGAAAGCUUUUGUGGUUUUGGAUGGACUCGCGGCCUAUCAGCUUGUUGGUGAGGUAAUGGCUUACCAAGGCGACGACGGGUAGCCGGCCUGAGAGGGUGACCGGCCACACUGGGACUGAGACACGGCCCAAACUCCUACGGGAGGCAGCAGUGGGGAAUAUUGCACAAUGGGCGCAAGCCUGAUGCAGCGACGCCGCGUGAGGGAUGACGGCCUUCGGGUUGUAAACCUCUUUCAGUAGGGAAGAAGCCGCAAGGUGACGGUACCUGCAGAAGAAGCGCCGGCUAACUACGUGCCAGCAGCCGCGGUAAUACGUAGGGCGCAAGCGUUAUCCGGGAAUUAUUGGGCGUAAAGAGCUCGUAGGCGGUUUGUCGCGUCUGCCGUGAAAGUCCGGGGCUCAACUCCGGGAUCUGCGGUGGGUACGGGCAGACUAGAGUGAUGUAGGGGAGACUGGAAUUCCUGGUGUAGCGGUGAAAUGCGCAGAUAUCAGGAGGAACACCGAUGGCGAAGGCAGGUCUCUGGGCAUUAACUGACGCUGAGGAGCGAAAGCAUGGGGAGCGAACAGGAUUAGAUACCCUGGUAGUCCAUGCCGUAAACGUUGGGCACUAGGUGUGGGGGACAUUCCACGUUUUCCGCGCCGUAGCUAACGCAUUAAGUGCCCCGCCUGGGGAGUACGGCCGCAAGGCUAAAACUCAAAGGAAUUGACGGGGGCCCGCACAAGCGGCGGAGCAUGCGGAUUAAUUCGAUGCAACGCGAAGAACCUUACCAAGGCUUGACAUGAACCGGACCGCCGCAGAAAUGUGGUUUCCCCUUUGGGGCUGGUUUACAGGUGGUGCAUGGUUGUCGUCAGCUCGUGUCGUGAGAUGUUGGGUUAAGUCCCGCAACGAGCGCAACCCUCGUUCUAUGUUGCCAGCACGUGAUGGUGGGGACUCAUAGGAGACUGCCGGGGUCAACUCGGAGGAAGGUGGGGACGACGUCAAAUCAUCAUGCCCCUUAUGUCUUGGGCUUCACGCAUGCUACAAUGGCCGGUACAAAGGGUUGCGAUACUGUGAGGUGGAGCUAAUCCCAAAAAGCCGGUCUCAGUUCGGAUUGGGGUCUGCAACUCGACCCCAUGAAGUCGGAGUCGCUAGUAAUCGCAGAUCAGCAACGAUGCGGUGAAUACGUUCCCGGGCCUUGUACACACCACCCG